UACGUAGGGUGCAAGCGUUGUCCGGAAUUAUUGGGCGUAAAGAGCUCGUAGGCGGCCUGUUGCGUCCGCUGUGAAAUCCCGGGGCUUAACCCCGGGCGUGCAGUGGAUACGGGCUGGCUGGAGGCAGGCAGGGGGAGAACGGAAUUCCCGGUGUAGCGGUGAAAUGCGCAGAUAUCGGGAGGAACACCGGUGGCGAAGGCGGUUCUCUGGGCCUGUACUGACGCUGAGGAGCGAAAGCGUGGGGAGCGAACAGG
RNAcentral lists this ribosomal RNA (254 nucleotides) under uncultured bacterium. RNAcentral describes it as "partial 16S ribosomal RNA". It matches the Rfam family "Bacterial small subunit ribosomal RNA", at positions 524 to 776 of the family's 1533-position model. The record is from RNAcentral.